GGUUAAGCGACUAAGCGUACACGGUGGAUGCCCUGGCAGUCAGAGGCGAUGAAGGACGUGCUAAUCUGCGAUAAGCGUCGGUAAGGUGAUAUGAACCGUUAUAACCGGCGAUUUCCGAAUGGGGAAACCCAGUGUGUUUCGACACACUAUCAUUAACUGAAUCCAUAGGUUAAUGAGGCGAACCGGGGGAACUGAAACAUCUAAGUACCCCGAGGAAAAGAAAUCAACCGAGAUUCCCCCAGUAGCGGCGAGCGAACGGGGAGCAGCCCAGAGCCUGAAUCAGUGUGUGUGUUAGUGGAAGCGUCUGGAAAGGCGCGCGAUACAGGGUGACAGCCCCGUACACAAAAAUGCACAUAUUGUGAGCUCGAUGAGUAGGGCGGGACACGUGGUAUCCUGUCUGAAUAUGGGGGGACCAUCCUCCAAGGCUAAAUACUCCUGACUGACCGAUAGUGAACCAGUACCGUGAGGGAAAGGCGAAAAGAACCCCGGCGAGGGGAGUGAAAAAGAACCUGAAACCGUGUACGUACAAGCAGUGGGAGCACGCUUAGGCGUGUGACUGCGUACCUUUUGUAUAAUGGGUCAGCGACUUAUAUUCUGUAGCAAGGUUAACCGAAUAGGGGAGCCGAAGGGAAACCGAGUCUUAACUGGGCGUUAAGUUGCAGGGUAUAGACCCGAAACCCGGUGAUCUAGCCAUGGGCAGGUUGAAGGUUGGGUAACACUAACUGGAGGACCGAACCGACUAAUGUUGAAAAAUUAGCGGAUGACUUGUGGCUGGGGGUGAAAGGCCAAUCAAACCGGGAGAUAGCUGGUUCUCCCCGAAAGCUAUUUAGGUAGCGCCUCGUGAAUUCAUCUCCGGGGGUAGAGCACUGUUUCGGCAAGGGGGUCAUCCCGACUUACCAACCCGAUGCAAACUGCGAAUACCGGAGAAUGUUAUCACGGGAGACACACGGCGGGUGCUAACGUCCGUCGUGAAGAGGGAAACAACCCAGACCGCCAGCUAAGGUCCCAAAGUCAUGGUUAAGUGGGAAACGAUGUGGGAAGGCCCAGACAGCCAGGAUGUUGGCUUAGAAGCAGCCAUCAUUUAAAGAAAGCGUAAUAGCUCACUGGUCGAGUCGGCCUGCGCGGAAGAUGUAACGGGGCUAAACCAUGCACCGAAGCUGCGGCAGCGACGCUUAUGCGUUGUUGGGUAGGGGAGCGUUCUGUAAGCCUGCGAAGGUGUGCUGUGAGGCAUGCUGGAGGUAUCAGAAGUGCGAAUGCUGACAUAAGUAACGAUAAAGCGGGUGAAAAGCCCGCUCGCCGGAAGACCAAGGGUUCCUGUCCAACGUUAAUCGGGGCAGGGUGAGUCGACCCCUAAGGCGAGGCCGAAAGGCGUAGUCGAUGGGAAACAGGUUAAUAUUCCUGUACUUGGUGUUACUGCGAAGGGGGGACGGAGAAGGCUAUGUUGGCCGGGCGACGGUUGUCCCGGUUUAAGCGUGUAGGCUGGUUUUCCAGGCAAAUCCGGAAAAUCAAGGCUGAGGCGUGAUGACGAGGCACUACGGUGCUGAAGCAACAAAUGCCCUGCUUCCAGGAAAAGCCUCUAAGCAUCAGGUAACAUCAAAUCGUACCCCAAACCGACACAGGUGGUCAGGUAGAGAAUACCAAGGCGCUUGAGAGAACUCGGGUGAAGGAACUAGGCAAAAUGGUGCCGUAACUUCGGGAGAAGGCACGCUGAUAUGUAGGUGAAGUCCCUCGCGGAUGGAGCUGAAAUCAGUCGAAGAUACCAGCUGGCUGCAACUGUUUAUUAAAAACACAGCACUGUGCAAACACGAAAGUGGACGUAUACGGUGUGACGCCUGCCCGGUGCCGGAAGGUUAAUUGAUGGGGUUAGCCGCAAGGCGAAGCUCUUGAUCGAAGCCCCGGUAAACGGCGGCCGUAACUAUAACGGUCCUAAGGUAGCGAAAUUCCUUGUCGGGUAAGUUCCGACCUGCACGAAUGGCGUAAUGAUGGCCAGGCUGUCUCCACCCGAGACUCAGUGAAAUUGAACUCGCUGUGAAGAUGCAGUGUACCCGCGGCAAGACGGAAAGACCCCGUGAACCUUUACUAUAGCUUGACACUGAACAUUGAGCCUUGAUGUGUAGGAUAGGUGGGAGGCUUUGAAGUGUGGACGCCAGUCUGCAUGGAGCCGACCUUGAAAUACCACCCUUUAAUGUUUGAUGUUCUAACGUUGACCCGUGAUCCGGGUUGCGGACAGUGUCUGGUGGGUAGUUUGACUGGGGCGGUCUCCUCCUAAAGAGUAACGGAGGAGCACGAAGGUUGGCUAAUCCUGGUCGGACAUCAGGAGGUUAGUGCAAUGGCAUAAGCCAGCUUGACUGCGAGCGUGACGGCGCGAGCAGGUGCGAAAGCAGGUCAUAGUGAUCCGGUGGUUCUGAAUGGAAGGGCCAUCGCUCAACGGAUAAAAGGUACUCCGGGGAUAACAGGCUGAUACCGCCCAAGAGUUCAUAUCGACGGCGGUGUUUGGCACCUCGAUGUCGGCUCAUCACAUCCUGGGGCUGAAGUAGGUCCCAAGGGUAUGGCUGUUCGCCAUUUAAAGUGGUACGCGAGCUGGGUUUAGAACGUCGUGAGACAGUUCGGUCCCUAUCUGCCGUGGGCGCUGGAGAACUGAGGGGGGCUGCUCCUAGUACGAGAGGACCGGAGUGGACGCAUCACUGGUGUUCGGGUUGUCAUGCCAAUGGCACUGCCCGGUAGCUAAAUGCGGAAGAGAUAAGUGCUGAAAGCAUCUAAGCACGAAACUUGCCCCGAGAUGAGUUCUCCCUGACUCCUUGAGAGUCCUGAAGGAACGUUGAAGACGACGACGUUGAUAGGCCGGGUGUGUAAGCGCAGCGAUGCGUUGAGCUAACCGGUACUAAUGAACCGUGAGGCUUAACCUU
RNAcentral lists this ribosomal RNA (2906 nucleotides) under Escherichia coli. Its description in RNAcentral is "23S ribosomal RNA". It matches the Rfam family "Bacterial large subunit ribosomal RNA". Lineage: Bacteria; Pseudomonadati; Pseudomonadota; Gammaproteobacteria; Enterobacterales; Enterobacteriaceae. The record is from RNAcentral.